Molecule: ribosomal RNA, 274 nt
Filed under: uncultured bacterium
Lineage: Bacteria
Description: partial 16S ribosomal RNA
Rfam family: Bacterial small subunit ribosomal RNA
Source: RNAcentral
AUACGGAGGGUGCAAGCGUUAUUCGGAAUCACUGGGCGUAAAGGACGCGUAGGCGGGUUGGCAAGUCAGAUGUGAAAUCCUACAGCUUAACCGUAGAACUGCAUUUGAAACUGCUAACCUAGAGUAUGGGAGGGGGAGAUGGAAUUAGUGGUGUAGGGGUAAAAUCCGUAGAUAUCACUAGGAAUACCGAAAGCGAAGGCGAUCUCCUGGAACAUAACUGACGCUAAGGCGUGAAAGCGUGGGGAGCAAACAGGAUUAGAAACCCUUGUAGUCC